Molecule: ribosomal RNA, 802 nt
Filed under: Enterobacter sp. S23
Lineage: Bacteria; Pseudomonadati; Pseudomonadota; Gammaproteobacteria; Enterobacterales; Enterobacteriaceae
Description: partial 16S ribosomal RNA
Rfam family: Bacterial small subunit ribosomal RNA
Source: RNAcentral
AGCCUAACACAUGCAAGUCGAACGGUAACAGGAAGCAGCUUGCUGCUUCGCUGACGAGUGGCGGACGGGUGAGUAAUGUCUGGGAAACUGCCUGAUGGAGGGGGAUAACUACUGGAAACGGUAGCUAAUACCGCAUAACGUCGCAAGACCAAAGAGGGGGACCUUCGGGCCUCUUGCCAUCGGAUGUGCCCAGAUGGGAUUAGCUAGUAGGUGGGGUAACGGCUCACCUAGGCGACGAUCCCUAGCUGGUCUGAGAGGAUGACCAGCCACACUGGAACUGAGACACGGUCCAGACUCCUACGGGAGGCAGCAGUGGGGAAUAUUGCACAAUGGGCGCAAGCCUGAUGCAGCCAUGCCGCGUGUAUGAAGAAGGCCUUCGGGUUGUAAAGUACUUUCAGCGGGGAGGAAGGCGAUAAGGUUAAUAACCUUGUCGAUUGACGUUACCCGCAGAAGAAGCACCGGCUAACUCCGUGCCAGCAGCCGCGGGUAAUACGGAGGGUGCAAGCGUUAAUCGAAUUACUGGGGCGUAAAGCGCACGCAGGCGGUCUGUCAAGUCGGAUGUGAAAUCCCGGGGCUCAACCUGGGGAACUGCUUCGAAACUGGCCAGCUACAGUCUUGUAAGGGGGUAGAUUCCAGGUGUAGCGGNGAANGCNUAGAAUCUGGAGGAUACCGUGGCAAGGCGGCCCCNGACAAGAUGACGCUAGGNCNAAACUGGGNCAACNGAUAAAUCCUGUNGUCCCCCNAACAUUCACUGAGUGUCCCUNAGCGNGNUUCCGACNANCCUUAAUNACCCCNGGGNUNN